GAGCCAAAUGCAGUGCUUGCUUCCUAUCUGUGGUCCAUUGCAUAGCAGUGUGCUUGGGUGCUGCGUAAGACAAUUCCCCCCAACGCCUCCAAAAAAUAGGACAUGGUCCACUGCAGGAGUUCAUAAUCUAGGAGUCCAGAGAGUCCAGGCUCAUCAUCCCUUCAGAAGAAAGAAUCUUCAGGCCUCUGCUCUUGUGAGAGUAAUUUCUCUUAACACCGACAGUGCAGCCUACUCCAUGUGCUACUUUCUCUCGCAACUUUGAGCAAGAAUGUUAGAUCUUUUGCUGGGGGCCUUCGGAAGCCGUGAGGGAGCAUAUCCUGACACCCACAUAGAAGACCUGGUACCUAUGUUUCCACAUCACAAAGCAGGCCAACAAGCACACAAGGCCGCAGACCAAAUUAAGAAUCAUCUGGAUGAGUAAGAACAGUUUGAAAGUGCCAGUGACGCUGGUACAGUCCGUCACAUCCCGGUAAACAAAGGUCCUGCUGAGCGGCUCCGAGGAGGGCAGUUUGCACUGGCAAGAGUCGAGUGUGGUCUCACAGGUAAACUGUGUGAGCUGCGAAUAGUGGUGGGCGGCAAAGGCCACGGCCAGCACACAGACCGUCAGGCCCAGGGCACUCAGCAGAAAGUAUAACAGCUGCAAGAAAGCAGAAGAAAACCUUUCUGGUUACAAAGAACAUUGGAUGAUGAUUUGCAAAGCGAAUUCAUCAAAACUGUUCUUUUUCUUCCCUCCCAGAAAUUUUCUGAUGGAAAGGCUGUCUCUUCUUAGAAACACAACACCCAAGACAUGGAAAUAGCUCCAUGUUUAUUUAUUAGUGGGUAGUUCUUAAACCCUGAUCACAUUUUCACUUGCCAUCCAGAUGUUGGGCCCUUUUCAAGAGUUGUGACAACCAUAUUAGCUGGACUGUGGAAUGUUUUUGUCUAGAUAUUGCCAGCAGUUUAGAUGAAUCCCAAACAAGCUAGCCAUCCCUGGAUGACAUGUUGUGCUUAUUUUGAACUCAAGAACUUCUGAUAUUAAGACUGAAACAAGACUAGGAAGUAAAGAACAGGUUUUUGUAAUGCAAACACUGUGUGGGCCAAAAUUAGCAAUGAUGGGUCAACUAAUAGCAUAAGUUAAUUUUUUUAAAAGACUACAUUCAAUGUAGUGAUUGCCAAACUGUAUCCAUAAACAUGAGAAUCCCCAGUAGGAGGUUGCUGGGAGAAAAUAAAUUAUGGCUCCAGAAGUCAAGUGACUCAACGUCAGCUUCAUCGCCUGUGAAACUUACCCCAAGCCCAACAACGACCAUGUGAUUCCUGAGCCUGAAAAAACUCUAAAUGGUUCCUCAGUCACCAAGGUUUUGAACACUGUUGGCCUCCAGAUUAGCUUUGGGAUUGAAAAAGUCUGGUUAAAGUUCUCGCUCUGCUGCUACAGGGCUGUGGGAACUCUGAACAAUUUAGGGAUUUAGCUUACACCUAAAAUAUUCUGAGCAAAACUUGUGGGUGUUCACUGACAUGGCCACAAUAAAAUCUAUGGAACAAGAAAUAUUUUUGUGAUUGAACUCACCUACUAGAAAUGUUAAUCUUAAUGGUCCACCUGCUGAGACUCUAGGUAAGGCUCAGAGUCCCCAGCUUUUGAGACUAGUACACAUAGUUCUUAGUGCAAGAAUUACAUUACCACAGUCAAAAGUUGCUCUCUACAGAGAACAAUUCUGGUAAAUGGACACUUCACAAAGUAAUAUUAGUUCCAGUCAUUUCCAGGUUCAGAGGAAAGUAGCUCUGAGAAGAUGAUGCCCUUCCCCCACCUUCCCUUAUAUAUAAUUCAAAAUUAAAACAUAUAUGUGACACUACAAAAUAUGUGUACAAAAGUCCUCCAAAUGAGUGUGUUCCACACAGUGAUGAUUUCAAGUGUUUUCAAGUCUUAAAUUUGGAAUGCUGUAUUUACAUUUUUACUUUUUCUUUUUCUUGAGUGGUAUGUGUGCAUGUAUGUGUGGGUGUGGGUGUACAUACUGGUUGCUGGUGCCCUAAGCUUAUCUCUGGUUUGCCUGUAAGGGAAUCCAUCAGGGAUUACAUACAGCUUGACUGUCUAUCUAAGGUCACUGGAAGAGCGUAGAAUUAGUUAAAGCCAUUUUUUUCUUAAUACAUCUUAAUUAGUAUCAUGGAUUCUUUAGAUCUUUUCAUCAAAGAGAUCUUAAACACACAUUCUUUUUCCUCUUCAAAUCAUUUAAAGGAUUGUCAGAUGUAACCUAAGUAUCUUCAUCUGUGAAACAGUUUAUAGAAACAUCUUAUAUCUCAGGGACAUAACAAUGAUUAUACUCAAUAUUAGUGUUCCUUGGAGGAAGGGAACCAGAUAUAUACAAAGUGGUACCAUCAUAAAAAAAAUUUUUUUUAAGAGAUGGAGUCUUGCUAUGUGGCCCAGGCUGGUCUCAAACUCCAAGCCUCAAGUGAUCCUCCCACCUCAGCCUCCCAAAGUAUUGAGAUUAGAGCCGUGAACCACUUCGUCUGGCCCUCAAUAUUUUCAGUGACUACAUUUUAUGCAAAAAUUGGAGUUUUUAGCCUAAAAAUAUGGAUUUAUUUUGUAGAACCAAUGGGGAAGAAUAUUUGAACAAUUCUGGGUUGUUCUGAAAUAUUCAGGCUUGAUUACUGACUUCAAACUCUUGGUGCCAAGAGCCAAAUUAAACUGUCUUGACCAUG
This 2670-nucleotide long non-coding RNA is filed under the name Homo sapiens (human). RNAcentral describes it as "SSPN antisense RNA 1, transcript variant 1 (SSPN-AS1)". The record is from RNAcentral. Lineage: Eukaryota; Metazoa; Chordata; Mammalia; Primates; Hominidae.